CCCAAAAACAAUCCCGCCAAAAAGAUGUUCUUCUUUUACAAAAAUUCAGAUUAGCAAUUUGAAUUCCAAAUAGAAAAUACACAAAAAAAUAAAAAACAAAAAACCAAAAAAAAAUCACUAUUUUAUAGGAUUUUUAGUCAACUUUCAGUUUCUGCCUUUAUGUUUUAGUUCUAUUCGAUAUUAAGUGUUUGGGUAGCAUCAGGGGAAUUUGAGUUUGCGUCCAAACUCAACUGCUGAAGAAAUCUGCUACUUUUUUGGUAUAAAUUCAACAAUACUCGAGUGUGUUCUGAAAAUUUGUGGUAGUUUUCUUGGUUGUGGCCUGAUUUCAAAGCUAUUCGUGGUUGUUUAAGCUAAGAUCUGGUUGUUGAUUUUUGUUCGUGUGGGCUGCUACUAACUGACUUUGCUUCUUCUUAAUUCCGAAAUUCCAGGUACACAUUUGAAACUACAGUGAUGUAACCACACUUGGAGUGAAAUGACUUUGUAUUUAUUAAUCUGUGUUCGUCUAGUUAAAUAUAUAAUGGUAAUUGUUCAGUUGAUGAGUAGUAAUGUACAUUUGGCCUGUUAGAUUGGAUUUAUAAAAAGUACUGUUAAGUAGACUGAUUUAAUUGUAUUAAUUUGACCCAUGAACUUGAUUUGAUUAGUUUGUUAACUUUGAGUAUCGUAGCUUCA
RNAcentral lists this long non-coding RNA (669 nucleotides) under Nicotiana benthamiana. RNAcentral describes it as "long non-coding RNA (NBEN_LNC040213)". The record is from RNAcentral. Lineage: Eukaryota; Viridiplantae; Streptophyta; Magnoliopsida; Solanales; Solanaceae.